UAGAAAUAUACAAUAAAUAAUUAUUUAAAUUAAAAAAUUUUAAAAAAUAAAUAAUUAUAAUUAUUUAUUGUAUAUUUCUAUA
This 82-nucleotide non-coding RNA is filed under the name Spodoptera frugiperda (fall armyworm). Lineage: Eukaryota; Metazoa; Arthropoda; Insecta; Lepidoptera; Noctuidae. The record is from RNAcentral.